AGAGUUUGAUCCUGGCUCAGAAUCAACGCUGGCGGCGUGCCUCAGACAUGCAAGUCGAACGAGAACCUUCCUUCGGGAAGGGGACAGUGGCGCACGGGUGAGUAACACGUGGGUAAUUUACCUUUGGGUGGGGAACAACAGCCGGAAACGGCUGCUAAUACCGCAUAAUGCAGCGGCUCGACAUCGAGACAGUUGUUAAAGCGGGGGAUCGCAAGACCUCGCGCCUAAAGAGAAGCCCGCGGCAGAUUAGCUAGUUGGUAGGGUAAUGGCCUACCAAGGCAACGAUCUGUAACCGGCCUGAGAGGGCGGUCGGUCACACUGACACUGACAUACGGGUCAGACUCCUACGGGAGGCAGCAGUCGGGAAUUUUGGGCAAUGGGCGAAAGCCUGACCCAGCAACGCCGCGUGAAGGAUGAAGCUUUUCGGAGUGUAAACUUCACAAGAAUGGGAAGAAUAAGUUUAGGAUAAUACCCUGAACGAUGACGGUACCAUUUGUAAGCUCCGGCUAACUCCGUGCCAGCAGCCGCGGUAAUACGGGGGGAGCAAGCGUUGUUCGGAUUUACUGGGCGUAAAGGGCGCGUAGGCGGCGCGACAAGUCACUUGUGAAAUCUCUGGGCUCAACCCAGAACGGUCAAGUGAUACUGUCGUGCUAGAGUGCGGAAGGGGCAACUGGAAUUCUUGGUGUAGCGGUGAAAUGCGUAGAUACCAAGAGGAACACCUGCGGCGAAGGCGGGUUGCUGGGCCGACACUGACGCUGAGGCGCGAAAGCUAGGGGAGCGAACGGGAUUAGAUACCCCGGUAGUCCUAGCCUUAAACGAUGAAUGCUUGGUGUCCGGAGUUAGAUAGUCUCCGGGUGCCGUCGCUAACGCUUUAAGCAUUCCGCCUGGGGAGUACGGUCGCAAGACUGAAACUCAAAGGAAUUGACGGGGACCCGCACAAGCGGUGGAGCAUGUGGUUUAAUUCGACGCAACGCGAAGGACCUUACCUAGUCUAGAAUGCUCCUGACAGCCCUAGAGAUAGGGUUUCUUGGGUAAAACCAAGCAGGAUGCAAGGUGCUGCAUGGCU
This 1066-nucleotide ribosomal RNA is filed under the name uncultured soil bacterium. RNAcentral describes it as "bacterial SSU rRNA". It matches the Rfam family "Bacterial small subunit ribosomal RNA", at positions 8 to 1050 of the family's 1533-position model. The record is from RNAcentral.